Molecule: ribosomal RNA, 274 nt
Filed under: uncultured bacterium
Lineage: Bacteria
Description: partial 16S ribosomal RNA
Rfam family: Bacterial small subunit ribosomal RNA
Source: RNAcentral
AUACGGAGGGUGCAAGCGUUAUCCGGAAUCACUGGGUUUAAAGGGUGCGUAGGCGGCUAAAUAAGUCAGAGGUGAAAUCUUCCUGCUUAACGGGACAAUUGCCUUUGAAACUGUAUAGCUUGAAUUAAGUUGAGGUUAGCGGAAUGUGACAUGUAGCGGUGAAAUGCAUAGAUAUGUCAUAGAACACCAAAUGCGAAGGCAGCUGGCUAGGCUUAUAUUGACGCUGAGGCACGAAAGCGUGGGGAGCGAACAGGAUUAGAUACCCUAGUAGUCC